GAGAACAGAGCCGCGGGUGUCGUCGGAGACAGAACUGGGAGCAGCUGCACGGGGCAGUGCUCCUCCCCCGGGGGCCCCAGUAAAGGCCCCCAGCUCUGCUCCAGAUCCCAAAGGAAGGUGGCGGAGAACAUGGGGAGGCAGUUCAGCGCCGGGCGGGAGCAUCGUCUCACGGCCAGGCUGACGCGAGAUGUCCAAGACCAGCUCUCCGGGCGUGAAACACCCUCUGUCCCAUCCUUUCCUCCCAACGUGCAGUUUAUCAUUAAAUAGUCACAGGGACGCCUCCCAUCUUCCCAGCUCCUCUGACCGCAGCUGUCCUUGGGGACAGCCGGAGACCAGAGCCCGGAAGCACAUAGAAGGCCCCCGCUGCUCCCCACUGCCCGCCCACCCUGCCAGAGCCACCGCAGUCCAGGGCACCGCUGAGGGCGACGGCCUCGCUUGGACAGAGAGGUGACAGGCUUCCCUGAGUUUGCGUCCCACGGACCUCGGUCUCCCACGGUACUUGUGCAGCAGGAAGCCCCGGAACACUCUCUGGACCAGGGAAGGUGUGGGGCCAAGGGCUCCGGGGAGAGGCCCAGGCCAGCUUUGACCACGCGACCAGCCUUGACCUCUGCCUGCUCUGCGAAUCAGGAAGAAGUGCCCUGACCUCCUCUCCCCCAAACCCCGGCGCCACUACGAGGUUCCCAAAAACACAGAGUGGAGUUCCCCCUGCGGCACCACGGGAUCGGCGGCUUCUCUGGAGGAGCUGGGACGCAGGUUCAGUUUCAGGCCCCGCCCUGAUCCCUGGCCCAGGGCGGCCAAAAAGGGGGGAAAUCCACCAAGGGAUAACGGGGGGAGGAAGACAGACCUCGGGGGACAAGACAAGAGACUUCAAGGGCUGUCUGGGCGAUGCAGGCAGUGAGGGAGCUGCUGACGGAGGAGGGGGAAGGAAGGGUGCUACGUGCCCCGGACCAGACGAGAGACACGCAGAGCAAGGCCGCAUCUGCCGGAGCCCAGGGAGGCCCGGCCCCCGGGCAGCAGGCAGAGGUGAUGGGGGGAGGUGUCCCUCGGAAGCCACCUCUGCUGGGCAGCGCACUCUGUGCCGACCACGUGGGGAUCCACGGACUGACCUCGUUCUCAUCGAGAGCGUGUAUCCUCCGUGGGAAAACCAGACAACAACUGAGCAAAUAAACACCUACGUGAACCGAAAUGAGAACAGCGGAGCUGGUGCUGAUCGAGGGGAUGCUUCAAAGGGAGGGCUUCGUGGGGACAGGUCCAGGGAGACAGGGCCCAGCCCAUUGGCCGGGGCAGGACCAGGGACCGGCCCGAGGGAGCGUCCUGCGUUUAUCCCACCUCAAUGGCAAGAGAGGCCGCCCCACAAAGGAGACGUAUGGACGGGGGCUGCCGAAGGGACAAGGCCGGCCGGGUGGAAUUAGGGCCAGCGGGAAGCAGAGAGCCAGAGCAGGAAGCCGAGGCUGGGCCCAGCAUCCUGCCAGGUCCUGGCACAUCGUGCUAAAUGGCUAUUUUCCCCGGGGCGAGAGCAGCAGCGGUGCCACGCGUGAGGCCAGGCUCCAUGGGCUUCGUGAACCGGGUCAGCAGACCUUCCUCCCACCUCAGACCCGACGGCCAGAAGCCACGGUCCUUCAGGCUCAGGUUAGGGUGAGUCUGCGCAUCUUUACGAGACAGAGAUAGUCCAGAUGUGAGGGGAACAGAGCCGUCUUUAGAGGUGGGCGUGCGAGCCCGCGCCUGGCGCUGGCGGAGCGUGUUUCCUCCCCCUGGAGAACAGCCCCCCGCAGCCCCACUGGCUGAGCCUGGACGGGACCCCAGGCCCCGCAGGAGAAGCAGGGCUCCCAGGCCUGGUCAGCAGACCAGUGCCUGUGCGGCACCCCCCUCUCCCCACCAGGACCCGGAACCCAGCCGCACCUUAAACACACCUUUCGUUCUUUUUUUUUUUUUUAAUUAGUUGUUUAAUUUCUGCGUUUUAGGGCUGCACUCGUGGCUUAUGUAAGUUUCCAGGCUAGGGAUCGAAUUGGAGCUACAGUUGCAGGUCUACACCACAGCUCACAGCAACGCUGGAUCCUUAACCCACUGAGCAAGGCCAGGGAUGGAACCCGCGUCCUCAUGGAUACUGGUCAGGUUUGUUUCACCACAAAGGGAACUCCUAAACCCACCUUUCUAGCAGGAGACCUGCUGCCCCUGACAGCCCGGCUCAUCCUCCCCCAGCAGACUGGCCAAUGAGCCCUGUCCUUGGAGCCGCCUUUGAGCAGCGCCUUCCUGCCCCACGUUUUCAAUGCCUCUGAGAAGAUCCGGGACCGUCUGCCCAGCUCCCUAGUGAACGGUGAACCGGCAGACCCCAGAACGAACUAGGCUGGGGGGUGUCCUCAGAGCCCCGGGGUUCCUGACACUGUGUGGGGACCAGCUUCCUUCCCCAGCAUCCGUCUGCUGCCUGGCUCGGCCCUGUGGUUUACUAAGGCUCCUGGGCCCUUGGUGGGGGGGGCACCGUGGGACCCCAGGGACCAGAUCGCCCACCUGUCAUCUGCUUUGGCCUAGUCUCCUGUUUUCUAGCUGUGUGCCUGCAGGCAAGUUACUCCGUCUCUCUGGCCCAGGACCGGAGCCCAGGAGCUGCCUUGUGAAGCUGAGACAGGCAUGUGUCAAGCCCUGGGUUGGAACCCGGCUGCCUUCAUUGGUGGGUUUUUCCUUCCAGCCGUGCUGCCUGCAGACAGCAGCGCCCACGCUUCCCAGCAAGCCUGCACAUCCUGCCCACCCCCCCCCGCCCCCCGUUGCCAUGGAGAGAAAGAGGAGCAGAAAGCCAGGCUCAGCACCGAGGCCCACAGCAAACCUGCCCAGGAGGGCUCCCUGCUGGCUCCGGGCAGCGAAGGCUCAUUAGCUCAGGGCGCCCGCAGGCCAUCCUCCCCCACACCUGCCCCGGGCGCAGCCUGCCCCCCAUCUGCAGCCCCCGCCCUCACGAGCGCAGCCCUGCGCAGAGCUGGAGUGGCCCAGAUGCCCUGGGAGGGGGGACCGCCCCCGUGCUCUCCAGUUCUCUGCCUCCGUCACCCCCAGAAAAGCCCCAGCCUGAGCCUGAAGUUGGCCUGAGAUAUGGCUCAACCUGCCAGGGCACCUCUUGCAGGGGCAGGGACCCAUGGGGCCGGGCUCAGAGCUGUGCCCGCACCCGUGACCCCACCAACCACCUGACGGGCAUGCGCUGGUAAACCAGCCAGCCCACCAAGAAUGCGGAACCAUGUCCCCCUUACGGCUGAGCGAACGGAGGCUCUGAGAACCAGAAACAGGCCUCUGGUCCCACGAGGAGGGUCCCAGUCCAGGGCCACCAGGAACCCAAGCUCAAGCUUUUUGUUCUAAAGGACUGUCUCCCCCAGUCUCUAUUUUUGGGGCGGGCUGAGCAAUGGCUCCCAGAACCCGCGGAGGGGACCCUUUAAAGAGGAGGAGCCCCUGCCGACGUGAGGAAGGGCGCCGACACGCAGAGAUCCGCCUGGAUUCUCAGGGCCUAAAUCCCCACCUGGAAGGACAAGGGGAGGCGGGAGGGUCUGGCCCAGGGAGGACGGGGAUGUGCAGACAGAGGCGUGGAGGGGCAAGGCAGCCAAGGGCCAAGCAGGAGGCCCCGGGGAAGCGGGAGGGACCCUUCUCCGCCCUCGGGGGGCGGCCCACCGGCACCCUGAUGGUGGACGCUGCGGCCUCCAGAACCAGCCAUCAGAGAACACGGCUCUGUUACGAGCCACCCGUUUGCUGCAGCUGCCGCAGGGCAGUGACGUGGAGAAUAAGGCAGCAGCCUCUGAGGAGGAGCGCCGCGCGUCGGUCCCAUUCUGUCGCCUCUCCCUCCCCACGUGACUCUCAGCGGCCAGUGGGCACCCUAAGAGACCCUCGGCGGAGGAGAGCCAGCUCGGUCUGAGCUCCAGGUGCAAACUCCUCCAGAGCAGCUCCAUGCUCCCGUGAGGAUGCGGCAAGGACGUCUCACACGUGACGCAUCUCAAAGGGAAUCGUCCUUGCCCCGCCCCCACCCCUCAAAGCCGCGGCUCUUCCAUUUUCCAGGGGCCGUGGGGUCACUCUGCUUUCUCCCUGCGCAGGGGCCACUGGGAACAAAUCACAGUGAUGCCAGCCCCUAAGCCCGUCUUACCUCCCACCCCUGCUCCAUCCAGCCCGAGACACCCUGGGACACGCGCAGGGCCCUGGUGGCUUCUUCCCUGGUUAGGGCGGCCAGGACGAAGCACUCACAGCCCUGUCCUCUAACAGCUAACUUGAGAUGGCAGGGAGAGAACCAGGAUCGGAGGCAUCGCUGUACAAGGAGGCUGUGCCAUCCUCCCACACGUAAGCUAAGCGUUUCCCAAGGCUGGGCAGGCGCUCGCCAACAGCUCAGCAUGUGGGGUGACAAACAGCGCUGUGCCCGGUGUCUUCCCAGCGUUCGGGGCUGCACACAGACUCUGGCAGCACCCAGGCUGCCUCGGAGCCCCUCUUUCAUUUCCCCCACGAAACGGAUGCAACAGCGAUGCCAGCUUCUGUCUCGAUAGAUGGAUAUCUUCAGGCAGGAACACGGACGUGGAUCCCACAUUGGCUGGAACGAUCGGAGAAGCAACAGGAUUCAGAUUCUCUUUUCCAGACCCAGUGCCCUUGCUGGCUUGGACUGAUUGUCAGCUGAUCUGCUGUAUGCUUGUCUUGUUUCCAAAAGCUACACGUAAAAAGGUGGGCCAUAAGUCAGCAGUACGCCCUGGAAGGAUCCUUGGCCUGUGAGCACUGAAUUUUUUAAAAUAUUUAUUCCCAUAAUCUUGAAAUGCAGGCUCUUCGAAGACACACCACACAGCCUGACUGCCUCCUUUUAGAUCUGCCAGCACAUGGCAGGCUCACACGCCUGCAUCUGAAAGCAGGCACUCUGGGCAGCUGGUCUCCACCGCGUGCGGGCUGGCAGGGGCUGGACAGGGGACAGAUGUGUGCCGCGCCAGGACACAUGGAGAGGCGAGUUCAGCAGGAGCUGCCAGGGGCGCGCGCCAUCCCACGUCCUGUGCGAGGGGGCGGGACCCCGUGUAAGGCCCGGCCCGUCUGCUCUGCCGCCCACUUCCUGCACUUACCCUGCUUUGCCACAAUCGAUCCUGUUCCUUCAAAUCACCCUCGCUUGAUGGACUCCGUUACCACUCGCCAAAACGACAGAGGUCGUUCUUAAAACAUUCAUGUAAAGCUCUAAAAUUAUCUG
This 5173-nucleotide long non-coding RNA is filed under the name Sus scrofa (pig). RNAcentral's name for it is "lncRNA (ENSSSCG00000054381.1)". The record is from RNAcentral. Lineage: Eukaryota; Metazoa; Chordata; Mammalia; Artiodactyla; Suidae.